AGUGAACGCUGGCGGUAGGCCUAACACAUGCAAGUCGAACGGCAGCACAGUAAGAGCUUGCUCUUACGGGUGGCGGGUGGCGGACGGGUGAGGAAUACAUCGGAAUCUACUUUUUCGUGGGGGAUAACGUAGGGAAACUUACGCUAAUACCGCAUACGACCUACGGGUGAAAGCAGGGGAUCUUCGGACCUUGCGCGAUUGAAUGAGCCGAUGUCGGAUUAGCUAGUUGGCGGGGUAAAGGCCCACCAAGGCGACGAUCCGUAGCUGGUCUGAGAGGAUGAUCAGCCAUACUGGAACUGAGACACGGUCCAGACUCCUACGGGAGGCAGCAGUGGGGAAUAUUGGACAAUGGGCGCAAGCCUGAUCCAGCCAUACCGCGUGGGUGAAGAAGGCCUUCGGGUUGUAAAGCCCUUUUGUUGGGAAAGAAAAGCAGCAGGUUAAUACCCCGCUGUUCUGACGGUACCCAAAGAAUAAGCACCGGCUAACUUCGUG
This 492-nucleotide ribosomal RNA is filed under the name uncultured bacterium. Its description in RNAcentral is "partial 16S ribosomal RNA". It matches the Rfam family "Bacterial small subunit ribosomal RNA", at positions 29 to 507 of the family's 1533-position model. The record is from RNAcentral.